Molecule: non-coding RNA, 29 nt
Filed under: Homo sapiens (human)
Lineage: Eukaryota; Metazoa; Chordata; Mammalia; Primates; Hominidae
Source: RNAcentral
GUGCACUGCAAAGGAUGUGAAGGAAAGUC